CACCGGGAGCGCGCGGGAGUGAAUCGUGAUGCGGCGCUGCCUUGGGUCUGUCUCCACCUGGCGGCCCUGGCUGUGUAGCCGGGUGCGUUGAGGGGAAACUGAGGCCCGGAGGAGGAAAGCAGCUGCUUCCCUGGAACAUUCUGCCGUAUGCCUGGUGUUCUACACCAUUUUCUCGUUUAAAUCGUCAUGGGCUUGCAAAUCCCCUACUUCCUGACAGGGAGGAGGCGGUCGGUGCUGUAACCGGCUUCAGACCCAGACCUCAGGAUUGGCGUUCCAGAGCUCCUUGGUCCUCAGCUGAUAUCUGGACUGGCUGUCCCAUAGGAUCCAGGUCCCAUUCCCAGCACUCACAGAGAAUGUAACUCCAGUUCCAAGGAAUCUGAUGUCUUCUUCUGGACCUUCAUAGGCACAGCCCACACAGACAUACAUUCAAGCAAAACACCAAAACGAUAAACAGGCUCUCACUGUGUAACUCCAAGCUGGCUACCUUCAGGGUCUGUCACAUGAUACUCCCACUUAGAAGACCUUCCCUGGUGUCCUCCUCCAUAUUGUCCCCCCAAAUGUACUACCUAGGAGCUCUACACUUGAACCCAAGGGCCCUGGGUCAGAAUUCUAGCGGUAACCUUGGAGCUCCAGGGUUGCUUCUGAUUAAUGAUAGAUGAUUGCUCCAGAUUGCCUCCAGGAUCAAACGAGGGCGCACCCACAUCGUACCAUCAGCACAAGGCCUGGCACCAUAGAGUUCUUAGUAAAUCUUAGCUGUUAUCAGCCUUCCCCUGGCCAGUGCUUGCUGACUGCUCAAGUUUCUCAGCCUUUGAAUCAAGCACUUUCCGC
RNAcentral lists this long non-coding RNA (828 nucleotides) under Cricetulus griseus (Chinese hamster). RNAcentral's name for it is "lncRNA (ENSCGRG00015036478.1)". The record is from RNAcentral. Lineage: Eukaryota; Metazoa; Chordata; Mammalia; Rodentia; Cricetidae.